AGUAUUAUGGCUGAAAUAUUAAGGCAAUAAAUUGUAAAUUUAUUUAUAAAAGUUAUUUUUUUAAUACUA
This 69-nucleotide transfer RNA is filed under the name Scolia bicincta. RNAcentral's name for it is "tRNA-Tyr". It matches the Rfam family "tRNA". From Rfam's summary of the family: Transfer RNA (tRNA) molecules are approximately 80 nucleotides in length. Lineage: Eukaryota; Metazoa; Arthropoda; Insecta; Hymenoptera; Scoliidae. The record is from RNAcentral.